Molecule: small RNA, 151 nt
Filed under: Pantoea agglomerans
Lineage: Bacteria; Pseudomonadati; Pseudomonadota; Gammaproteobacteria; Enterobacterales; Erwiniaceae
Description: sroC RNA
Rfam family: sroC RNA
About the family: This family consists of a number of bacterial sroC RNA genes of around 160 bases in length. sroC is found in several Enterobacterial species. It base-pairs with GcvB. This interaction triggers the degradation of GcvB by RNase E, alleviating the GcvB-mediated mRNA repression of other amino acid-related transport and metabolic genes.
Source: RNAcentral
ACGGGUAUAACAAGGGCGGCCUGGCUGCCCUCUCGAUUGCUGAAACCGCGGCAUGGACAGACAGACUGACACGGGUCGUUCCCCUGAGUCAGGAAAUACAACGCCGUUCAUCAAUCUUCAGGGUAGCUUAGCUACCCUUUUUUUCCGGAGC